RNAcentral lists this ribosomal RNA (253 nucleotides) under uncultured bacterium. RNAcentral describes it as "partial 16S ribosomal RNA". It matches the Rfam family "Bacterial small subunit ribosomal RNA", at positions 524 to 776 of the family's 1533-position model. The record is from RNAcentral.
UACAGAGGUCGCAAGCGUUGUUCGGAUUUACUGGGCGUAAAGGGCGCGUAGGCGGCAGGGCAUGUCAAGUGUGAAAUCUCCGGGCUCAACCCGGAAAGUGCGCUUGAAACUACCUUGCUUGAGUCUGGGAGAGGGAAUCGGAAUAUAGGGUGUAGCGGUGAAAUGCGUUGAUAUCCUAUAGAACACCGGAGGCGAAGGCGGAUUCCUUGAACAGUACUGACGCUGAGGCGCGAAAGUCGGGGGAGCAAACAGG